CCCCGGUGGCCACAAUGACCGCCAGCAGACCGGUGACACCUUUGGGCAGCAAGGACACACCGACACGGCGACACAUGGCACCCCGUCCACUGGCGGCACCUACGGGCAGCACGAACACACCGGAGUGACCGAUAAGGGAACACAGGGCACCGGUGGCAUCGACAAGAAGAAGGAUGCCAUGGAGAACAUCAAGGAGAAGCUCCCCGGUGGUCAUGGUGACCACCAGCAGACCGCUGGCACCUACGGGCAGCAUGGACACACUGGAAUGACCGGCACGGAGACGCAUGGAACCACGGCCACCGACGGCGGGCAGCAAGGACACAACGAAACAACUGGCACUGGGACACACGGCACCGACGGGACCGGUGAGAAGAAGAGCUUCAUGGACAAGAUCAAGGAGAAGCUGCCUGGACUGAACUAAGCCCGGUCUGCCUACGGCCGCUACCUUUGCAGAAUAAUACUCCACCGCAUAUAAAUUGAUUGAGUCUAGUUCACCUAGCUCACUUGGUCGUUGGAGAAGCGAAUGUAUCUUGGUUUAAGUUUUCAUGGACAACAUGUGUUCACAGUUUUUUUUUCUUUUUAACAUUGUCGUGCAAAUUUCCUUCUGGUUCAACCCAUGUAUGUAUGCUAUGAUGCCUAUGGCAUCUAAUAUAUCAGUAUAAUAAAGUUACUAAGCUUCCAGAAAUUAGAGCCUCGUGGUUGAACGUGGCAUAUGAG
This 717-nucleotide long non-coding RNA is filed under the name Triticum aestivum (bread wheat). RNAcentral's name for it is "long non-coding RNA (TAES_LNC010818)". Lineage: Eukaryota; Viridiplantae; Streptophyta; Magnoliopsida; Poales; Poaceae. The record is from RNAcentral.